Molecule: long non-coding RNA, 461 nt
Organism: Apis laboriosa (Himalayan honeybee)
Lineage: Eukaryota; Metazoa; Arthropoda; Insecta; Hymenoptera; Apidae
Exons: 3
Source: RefSeq, a predicted model, not a curated record
GAUCAUAUGCAAAUCCAAAUGCAAUCUGGCAGAGUCGGUGACAACGAGUAACGGUCGAGAAACCUUAGGUGAUCCGAGGCGAUCGAAUUUCGAAAUCGACACGACUGCAUCGCAUAAUGGCCAUACAGUUACAGUUUGAAAAGAAGCAGAGACAAGUCACGUAAGAACUGAGGAGAGGAAAAAAAAAAACGACAAAUGUAGGAAGCGGAAAAUUCAACGCUAUUUCACUUGCUGCGAGAUAUAUAACUCAGAUUAUACGAAUGCAGAGAUUCUUCGAUGUGCUAUAAAUUGCACUUAAAUGUAUUACGACUACGAAAAGGCAAAUUCUGUUCCAAAAACACUGGCGAAUAUCUACUUACUAAUCUGAUCAUCGUGUCUGUUAAGUUGUUUUUGAUACUCCGAAUUACCACUUUAUUGCGGCAAUCUAAGAUAUUCGUUACUUGGAGGAAGUUCGCGUGUUA